AUAAGCGGAGGAAAAGAAACUAACAAGGAUUCCCCUAGUAACUGCGAGUGAAGCGGGAAAAGCUCAAAUUUAAAAUCUGUCAGUCUUUGGCUGUCCGAGUUGUAAUCUAGAGAAGUGUUAUCCGCGCUGGACCGUGUACAAGUCUCCUGGAAUGGAGCGUCAUAGAGGGUGAGAAUCCCGUCUUUGACACGGACUGCCAGGGCUUUGUGAUACGCUCUCAAAGAGUCGAGUUGUUUGGGAAUGCAGCUCAAAAUGGGUGGUAAAUUCCAUCUAAAGCUAAAUAUUGGCGAGAGACCGAUAGCGAACAAGUACCGUGAGGGAAAGAUGAAAAGAACUUUGGAAAGAGAGUUAAACAGUACGUGAAAUUGCUGAAAGGGAAACGCUUGAAGUCAGUCGCGUUGUCCAGGGAUCAGCCUUGCUUUUGCUUGGUGUACUUUCUGGUUGACGGGUCAGCAUCAAUUUUGACUGUUGGAAAAAGGUCAGGGGAAUGUGGCAUCUUCGGAUGUGUUAUAGCCCUUGGUUGCAUACAAUGGUUGGGAUUGAGGAACUCAGCACGCCGCAAGGCCGGGUAACUAUUACCACGUACGUGCUUAGGAUGCUGGCAUAAUGGCUUUAAUCGACCCGUCUUGAAACACGGACCAAGGAGUCUAACAUGCCUGCGAGUGUUUGGGUGGAAAACUCGAGCGCGUAAUGAAAGUGAAAGUUGAGAUCCCUGUCGUGGGGAGCAUCGACGCCCGGACCAGACCUUUUGUGACGGUUCCGCGGUAGAGCAUGUAUGUUGGGACCCGAAAGAUGGUGAACUAUGCCUGAAUAGGGUGAAGCCAGAGGAAACUCUGGUGGAGGCUCGUAGCGAUUCUGACGUGCAAAUCGAUCGUCAAAUUUGGGUAUAGGGGCGAAAGACUAAUCGAACCAUCU
RNAcentral lists this ribosomal RNA (915 nucleotides) under Cortinarius sp. Its description in RNAcentral is "partial large subunit ribosomal RNA". It matches the Rfam family "Eukaryotic large subunit ribosomal RNA", at positions 46 to 945 of the family's 3401-position model. Lineage: Eukaryota; Fungi; Basidiomycota; Agaricomycetes; Agaricales; Cortinariaceae. The record is from RNAcentral.